RNAcentral lists this long non-coding RNA (2328 nucleotides) under Salmo salar (Atlantic salmon). RNAcentral describes it as "lncRNA (ENSSSAG00000097038.1)". The record is from RNAcentral. Lineage: Eukaryota; Metazoa; Chordata; Actinopteri; Salmoniformes; Salmonidae.
UGCCGCUCAGCCAUCGCUCAUCAAUAUACUAUACAGUAUGUACAUAUUCUCAUUCACCCCUUUAGAUUUGUGUGUAUUAGGAUAGUUGUUGGUGGAAUUGUUAGAUAACUUGUUAGAUGUGUGUGUAUUAGGUAGUUGUUGGGAAUUGUUCGAUAUUACUGCACUGUUGGAACUAGAAGCACAAGCAUUUCGCUACACUCGCAUUAACAUCUUGUAAGCAUGUGUAUGUGACCAAUAAAAUGUUUUUUUUUUUUUUGACUUUUACUCAAGUAGUAUUUUAUUGGCUGGCUUUCACUUUUACUCAUGUAUGACAACUGGAUACUUUUUCCACCACUGCCCCUCUCAUUCUUUCCAGGCUUCUGGGAGGGAGGGUGGACAAUGAGCCUGUCAUAGCAGAUGUAAGCAAUGUCCUCACGUGCUCUGGCAGCUUUCAUGUCUGGGAUAAGUUCUUUCCUCUUCUGGCACACAGCUUCAGGAUAGUCCUAGUUGGGGAAGAUAUACACUCCUCUCAAGUUAUUAGCUUUUUCCAGAACAGCUACCUUGUUCUUGAACCUCAGGAACUUGACCACUAUCGGCCUGGGCCUGUCAACUGGGCGUUCUAGUACUGUGAGCACGCUCCACCUCAAUCUUCCUGUGGUCUAUCUUAAAUUUCUCAGAGAUCAUUUCCCUCACUUUGUCCUCAGACUCCAUCCAGGUCUCAUGUGGUGAUUCUGCAAUUCUGUCCACAACUAUGUUAUUCCUCAUUGAUUGUCGCUUGUGAUUUAUCCGCCAUUGUUAUCAUAGAUUCACUCACAGAACUGAUGUCUUCCCUGAAUUUUUCUUAAUUUAACUAGGCAAGUCAGUUAAGAACAAAUUCUUAUUUACAAUGACGGCCUAGGAACAGUGGGUUAACUGCCUUGUUUUAGGGGCAAAACAACAGAUGUUUACCUUGUCAGCUCGGGGAUUCGAUCUAGCAACCUUUCGGCAACUGGCCCAACGCUCUAACCACUAGGCUACCUGCCGUCCCUAAAUCGCUGUCAUCUUGCCAUUCUCCUGUUUCAACUCAUCGAGCUGACCCUGGGAGAACUGAAAGCUGUUCUUCAGGUCCUGGAACUCUCUGGUCAGGUCAUCCAUUUUCUGUGGAGGUCCACAGAGCUGUUUAGAGGCAUCCAGCUAAUAGUUGAAGGAGGCUUUGUUGCGAAAUAGGAAGCCGAUUCUAGAUUUAAUUUUGGAUUGGAGAUGCUUAAUGUGAGUCUGGAAGGAGAGUUUACAGUCUAACCAGACACCUAGGUAUUUGUAGAUGUCCACUUAGUUUUACUAGCAUUUAAAAGCAGGUGGAGGCCACUGAAGGAGUGCUGUAUGGCAUUGAAGCUCGUUUGGAGGUUUGUUAGCAGUGUCCAAAGAAGGGCCAGGUGUAUACAGAAUGGUGUAGUCUGCGUAGAGGUGGAUCAGAGAGUCACCAGCAGCAAGAGCGACAUCACUGAUAUAUACAGAGAGAAGAGUCGGCCCGAGAAUUGAACCCUGUGGCACCCCCAUAGAGACUGCCAGAGGUCUGGACAACAGGCCCUCUGAUUUGACACACUGAACUCUGAGAAGUAGUUGGUGAACCAGAACAUCAACUGUCUGGAUUUGGGUGAAGGAGGAGGAGGGGGGGGGGCGAGCUGCUGCAGGGGGUGCUGAGAUGUUGGCCGAGGUAGGGGUAGCCAGUUAGAGAGCAUGGCCAGCAGUAGAAAAAUGCUUAUUGAAAUGAUUGAUUAUCGUAAAUUUAUCGGUGGUGACAGUGUUUCCUAUCCUGCAGUGGGCAGCUGGAAGGAGGUGCUCUUAUUCUCCAUGGAUUUUACAGUGUCCCAAAACUUUUUGUAAUUAGUGCUAUAGGAUGCACAUUUCUGUUGAAAAAGCUAGCGUUAGCUUUCCUAACUGACUGAGUAUAUUGGUUCCUGACUUCCCUGAAAAGUUGCAUAUCGUGGGGGCUAUUCGAUGCUAAUGCAGAACGCCACAGGAUGCUAGUCAAGGGCAGUCAAGUCUGAGGUGAACCAAGGGCUAUAUCUGUUCUUAGUUCUAGAUUUUUUGAAUGGGGCAUGCUUAUUUAAGAUGGUGAGGAAAGCACUUUUAAAGAGCAACCAGGCAUCUUCUACUGAUGGGAUGAGGUCAAUAUCCUUCAAGGAUAGCCGGGCCAGGUCGAUUAGAAAGGCCUGCUCGCUGAAGUGUUUUAUGGAACGUUUGACAGUUAUGAGGGGUGGUCGUUUGACCGCAGACCCCAUUACGCGCACAGGCAAUGAGGCAGUGAUCGCUGAGAUCCUCGUUGAAGACAGCAGAGGUGUAUUUAGAGGGCAAGAUGACGAUAAAAGC